Molecule: ribosomal RNA, 253 nt
Filed under: uncultured bacterium
Lineage: Bacteria
Description: partial 16S ribosomal RNA
Rfam family: Bacterial small subunit ribosomal RNA
Source: RNAcentral
GACAGAGGGUGCAAACGUUGUUCGGAAUCACUGGGCAUAAAGCGCACGUAGGCGGUCCGCUAAGUCAGGUGUGAAAGCCCCCGGCUCAACCGGGGAACUGCACUUGAUACUGGCGGGCUUGAGGAUGAGAUGGGCGGGCGGAACUCCAGGUGGAGCGGUGAAAUGCGUAGAUAUCUGGAGGAACACCGGUGGCGAAAGCGGCCCGCUGGACCAUCACUGACGCUGAGGUGCGAAAGCUAGGGUAGCAAACGGG